GGGGGUAUGGCUCAGUGGUAGAACGUAUGUUUAGCACGCGUGAGGUCUUGGGUUCAAUCCCUAGUACCUCCA
Molecule: transfer RNA, 72 nt
Filed under: Camelus dromedarius (Arabian camel)
Lineage: Eukaryota; Metazoa; Chordata; Mammalia; Artiodactyla; Camelidae
Also listed under: 1 other name
Rfam family: tRNA
About the family: Transfer RNA (tRNA) molecules are approximately 80 nucleotides in length. Their secondary structure includes four short double-helical elements and three loops (D, anti-codon, and T loops). Further hydrogen bonds mediate the characteristic L-shaped molecular structure. tRNAs have two regions of fundamental functional importance: the anti-codon, which is responsible for specific mRNA codon recognition, and the 3' end, to which the tRNAs corresponding amino acid is attached (by aminoacyl-tRNA synthetases). tRNAs cope with the degeneracy of the genetic code in two manners: having more than one tRNA (with a specific anti-codon) for a particular amino acid; and 'wobble' base-pairing, i.e. permitting non-standard base-pairing at the 3rd anti-codon position.
Source: Rfam by way of RNAcentral